This 253-nucleotide ribosomal RNA is filed under the name uncultured bacterium. RNAcentral's name for it is "partial 16S ribosomal RNA". It matches the Rfam family "Bacterial small subunit ribosomal RNA", at positions 524 to 776 of the family's 1533-position model. The record is from RNAcentral.
GACGAACUGUGCGAACGUUAUUCGGAAUCACUGGGCUUAAAGGGUGCGUAGGUGGCGCGUUAAGUCAGGUGUGAAAUUUCGGAGCUUAACUCCGAAACUGCAUUUGAUACUGGCGUGCUUGAGGACUGGAGAGGAGACUGGAAUUCAUGGUGUAGCAGUGAAAUGCGUAGAGAUCAUGAGGAAGACCAGUGGCGAAGGCGGGUCUCUGGACAGUUCCUGACACUGAGGCACGAAGGCCAGGGGAGCAAACGGG